This 422-nucleotide ribosomal RNA is filed under the name uncultured bacterium. Its description in RNAcentral is "bacterial SSU rRNA". It matches the Rfam family "Bacterial small subunit ribosomal RNA", at positions 355 to 774 of the family's 1533-position model. The record is from RNAcentral.
UGAGGAAUAUUGGUCAAUGGGGGCAACCCUGAACCAGCCAAGUCGCGUGAAGGAUGAAGGUCUUAUGGAUUGUAAACUUCUUUUACACGGGAAUAAAGCAGGGGACGUGUCCCUCUUUGCAUGUACCGUGUGAAUAAGGAUCGGCUAACUCCGUGCCAGCAGCCGCGGUAAUACGGAGGAUCCGAGCGUUAUCCGGAUUUAUUGGGUUUAAAGGGUGCGCAGGCGGGAUGUUAAGUCGGCGGUGAAAUUUUGCAGCUCAACUGUAAAAGUGCCUUCGAUACUGGCCUUCUUGAGUGUGGAUGAAGUAGGCGGAAUUUGUGGUGUAGCGGUGAAAUGCUUAGAUAUCACGAGGAACUCCGAUUGCGCAGGCAGCUUACUAAGCCACAACUGACGCUCAUGCACGAAGGCGUGGGGAUCAAACA